UAAACUAUCCACUUUUGAUCGCCAGUAAUCAGUCGUUUCAGAAAUGAAUCAAUUUCGUUGCGUUUCAGAAGCGAAUCGCAGAUGCUAAUGCGUUGCGUCAAAUGAAUUUCCUUAAGCUGAUGAGGGACCCAUAUAUCUAGUUUCUUGACAUAGCCAAGCUAUUUUAAUUCUUUUUUUAAUGCAUGUAUGCGAUACAUUGAGCUUCUCACGCGUUGUGCUAUGACGGUCUGAAUCGAUAAUGGCCUCGAUAUGGGUCUCAUCAACUUCGACUGGAUUUUUCAAUGAAAAAUCACCAGAACGAAAUUUGGCAAACCAAUUUUGACACUUCUUUUCUUUUAAGGCUUCAUUCCCAUAUACGGCACAUAAUUUCUUGUGUACUUGCCUUUUCGGAAAUAAUACGAUAAAAUAUGUCUGAAAUGCGCGUCUUGUUCUUCCAUUUUCAAAUUGGGAUAAAAACGAAACUAAAUAACUAAUCGAUACAGUUUUUUUACUAAAUUAAAGGUGGAAGUCCAAACAACAAGAAAACAAUAUAGGUUAUGAAAUACCGACCUGUCAAAAAUCAGACUGUUUCUUACGCCCUCUGUGAUUUCUUACGGCGAAUAUGGGAAUCAUCACAGACGGACUCAUCAGUGAUUACACAGCGAGUAUACGGCAUAAAUCCUGCACCUUAUGGUCCCAUGUUCAGAAAUAUCGAUCGUGUAAAAGAAACAGAGUGUUUGUUACGCCCUUCGCAAUCUACAGCGAUGAGUACAGGAACUGUAUUCAAUCCAACCAAUAAAGUUGGUAAUGGAAAGGAAAGAUAAAAAUUGAAUGAUUUCAAGGAGGACGUAAUUUGGUAUGAUUAGUUUUUGGUAAUUAUUUGAAAGUCUCUUCAUCAUCGGUUUCGAUGAUUUUUUAAUAUAUUGCCGGGGCAUGAUUCUGAACAACUUUUGUUUAUGCAUGUGUCACGUAAACUUGACGGUUAGAUGAUAAAAAAGAGAAGGUUGAGUCGUAACACAACUUUAUUCACUAACACAGCACAGGUUUACAAUAAUCGUGACUGAUGUUGACUAUUCUAACGGUCAAGAAUAAGUGAAGUUUUACUGACGAUACUGUGUCUGAGGAAAGCUAGGGGGUGGGUGUGUCUAAGGACACGGGACCAUCGGAUUUGUUGAUGACAAUUUUGGUUAGGAAAGUGAGGGCAGUAGACAUUGCUUCUGAUUGGAUAAAAGAAGCUUGGUGGACUAGGAAGGGUCUUAGCCGCCCUCGAUAGAUAGUUGCUAGUGUGAAGUAUCGUACGUGAGAAAAACUAAUUUUCCCGUGUCUUCCCGUAGUAAACAGUAAGCUUUAGAAACGAGUCAGUAAAGGGAUGUCGGUAUGGUCUGAAGAACUUUAGUUAGAAAAUGCCCGAAAUUUAUGAUAGGUCCUUAAGACUAUUGAGGGUAUGCAGUAAGGAUGUGCGGACAUCUGAUUGUCAUCUUGCCCGCGGUGUGUGGCCUGGUCUAGGUAGAGUGUCCCCCGACGUAACAGUGGGUCAUUGAAGUAAUUGAAGGUACGCACAUAUCUGCCCUCUAAUGUGGAUUGACGUCACACAUGCAUGUCACCGCCGUUCAGGCCUAAAUAUUUCCGAGAUACUCGUAAAAAGAACUAGAAAAUCUAUUCUUGCUACACACAGAAUUCUGCCCAUUUGUUUACAUCUACCAAUCAUCGAUCUAUUUAUGUAGCAUAAAAAAUUUGAAUCUGUGUAUGCUGCAUCUCCGAAUCUGUUAGUUAUUCUCUACCUGUAUUAAAAGUCAUUUAAGAGUUAAGAAAUCUAAUCAUAAUGAUAUUAUAUGAAUUUCUAAAUUUAUGUAAUAAUUACUAUCAGUUGGUGCAGUUUUUAAUUGAACGAAAAGUAAUUCAGACACCCAAUAAAGAUGAUAAAGACAAACAAGGAUUGCCGGUCACCUUGCAGCGGCCGGAUUGGAAGGACUAACCCAAACCCAAUACAUUGAUAAUAUUUAUGUGUAAUUCAUGUAUAAAAUAUUUCUUACAGCCUCGCAUAUUCACUUCUGCGCGGAGCUUAUAUCCGAAGGAUCUGUAAUUUCACUAAAAUAUUAAAGUUACAAUAUCUUUUAAAUUAAUCAUUUUUCGCCCCAAGUAAUACAUUUGUGUAGGGAAUUAAAAAGUGUUACAAGAUUAAAGUUACUAUAUCUUUUAAACUAAUCGUUUUUCCAAAGAAAUGUAUAGUACCACUUAAAAAAGUUACAUUGACACUAAAAUCUCUUUGAAUAAAAAUGUAAAAAGAUAUCAAAAUAUGUUACAUCUACCUAUCGAAUUUUCGCCCAUGAAGUCAAAUAAUUUUCAUCUAAAACAUUUUUUCACAUGUCCAAUACUUACUCUAUUCAAAAAUCUUUACUUUUUCCGAUCGCCUUUGUCAUUGUGCGAAAUGAUAAAUGCGAGUUAAAUGGACAUAUGUAUGUAUGCCGUAUAUACAUAUAUUAUAGAUCUUGGAUUUCUUGGUGAAAGUAUAGUUGCCAAAUCUCAUCCUACAACGCAGUUGACAUAUUUCGAUUGAGGUUUGGGUUAGGGUUAAGUUUUUCUUCGGAUGCUGUAUAUACAGGCGCGACCCUUACGAUUUCAUAGCGUAAUGUAUACGAUCCGGUUUCAUGAUCUCAAUCGUGAGAGCGCACGGUAUUUUUACUGUUUUUACCUUCCUGCAAAUUAACGUAUGAACCGAUUUUAACUUUAUGGGUUUCAUUUUGUACAUUUUUUCAAUACCUACAUGUUCCAAUAUAAACUUUUUUCUAUAAAAUCAUUAUUUCUCUUUCUACAGACGAAAAUCCCGUCUUUUACGCACUUGUGCGUUUUUUUUUUAGCAAUGGCGCCAAACUUUUUACGAGUCUCACACAUUUCAUUUCUAAUGACCUUGCGAACUAUUUUGUGCAAGAAAAUAAUUUUCCCGAAUUGUGGAUGUUUCAAAGGCUAAUUCAAAUGGCUAAUAGUCUUGGACUGAUAUCCGCAAUAUGUGAAAGAGGAAAGGAAGCUAACUGGUUGGAAGAGGGAGAGGGAGAGAGAGAGAGAGAGAGAAACAGACAGACUGACAGACAGAGAAAGAGUGAAGGAGAGAAAACCUUCUGAAUAGAUCCGAAACUGUCAAGUUAUUUGAAAAUGAUCGGACUAUCCAUAAGCCCGGGGCCACACGAAAUGCCUUGUAGAAAUACAUUGUCGUAUAUGGAAGUUGACACAUGAACGGUGUGCGUCACCGUCAACACUGCUUGCAGCCUGUAUUACUUUUUUCUCGACACAUCUAACUUCAUAUAGCUAAAUUAAGUCAUACGCGAAUUAUGCUACAUACUUUUCAUAAGGAAUCAUUGACGCCUGGUGUACACUUCCUCGUCUUUGUCGUUUUUAACUGGGUAAUCAAAGAGGAGACAUAUGAUAUGAUCACAAUAAGAUCGUAACGAAAAAUGUUGCACCUCUGUACAGGGCUUCAAAUAUGUUAACUUUUGCCGUAAAAUGUCAAAUAAAAUAUGUAUAAUAAAAAAAUAUAGAAUAAAAUGCAAA
Molecule: long non-coding RNA, 3525 nt
Organism: Bombus pyrosoma
Lineage: Eukaryota; Metazoa; Arthropoda; Insecta; Hymenoptera; Apidae
Exons: 3
Source: RefSeq, a predicted model, not a curated record